RNAcentral lists this ribosomal RNA (497 nucleotides) under uncultured bacterium. Its description in RNAcentral is "partial 16S ribosomal RNA". It matches the Rfam family "Bacterial small subunit ribosomal RNA", at positions 28 to 507 of the family's 1533-position model. The record is from RNAcentral.
GAUGAACGCUGGCGGCGUGCCUAAUACAUGCAAGUCGAGCGAACGGACGAGAAGCUUGCGUCUCUGAUGUUAGCGGCGGACGGGUGAGUAACACGUGGAUAACCUACCUAUAAGACUGGUAUAACUUCGGGAAACCGGCGCUAAUACCGGAUAAUAUUUUGAACCGCAUGGUUCAAAAGUGAAAGACGGUCUUGCUGUCACUUCUAGAUGGAUCCGCGCUUCAUUAGCUAGUUGGUAAGGUAACGGCUUACCAAGGCAACGAUGCAUAGCCGACCUGAGGGGGUGAUCGGCCACACUGGAACUGAGACACGGUACAGACUCCUACGGGAGGCAGCAGUAGGGAAUCGUCCGCAAUGGGCGAAAGCCUGACGGAGCAACGCCGCGUGAGUGAUGAAGGUCUUCGGAUCGUAAAACUCUGUUAUUAGGGAAGAACAUAUGUGUAAGUAACUGUGCACAUCUUGACGGUACCUAAUCAGAAAGCCGCGGCUAACUACGUG